Molecule: unclassified non-coding RNA, 167 nt
Filed under: uncultured fungus
Lineage: Eukaryota; Fungi
Description: sequence contains ITS1, 5.8S rRNA gene
Source: RNAcentral
AUGAAUGAUUUUUCUUCUCUUUGGGUUAAAAGUCCAAAGGGGGGAAGAAAACAACCUCAUAUUUCCUGUGAACUGUGUGCAUUUGGGGGCUUUCCCAAAUGCUACUACUACUAACAACGUCGUUGAAUGUCAUUGCGUCUGUGUAAUGCAGAUUAUAAAACAAAAUA